This 404-nucleotide long non-coding RNA is filed under the name Monodelphis domestica (gray short-tailed opossum). RNAcentral describes it as "lncRNA (ENSMODG00000043866.1)". The record is from RNAcentral. Lineage: Eukaryota; Metazoa; Chordata; Mammalia; Didelphimorphia; Didelphidae.
UCUUGAUUUGGGCGAGGCAGGAGGAGAGAGCUCGGUUAACAAAUUAGAAACCUGGACAAGGAGUCUUGUAGGGCCUUGCUAAGGUACAAAAGCCCACAGACACCUGCAUUUUGAAGAACUUCAUGGAAAAGGAGGCUCGAGUGGCAAGGUCCAAAGACAAUAAGACCUGACCAGUUGCUCUUUCUCUUUGAACCUUGGGAGAAGCUGAGUAGAGCACACAAAGAAAGGAUCUCCAGCAACCCAGCCAGGCUCUAUAGAAAUAUGAAGGUCAAAUAUUCUGUAUCUCUACCUUCCAAGGCCACUCUCAGAUGGAAUCUUAGAUGAGCCUUCAAAGCCAUAAUAUUCUCGAUAUCCUUUGGUGAUAAAGUAAUAAAAAGGAUCUUCUAAUUUGACUAAAAGUAAGU